UCCCUGGUAGCUCAGAUGGUAAAGCAUCUGCCUACAAUGCAGGAGAAUCAGGUUCAAUCCCUGGGUUGGGAA
RNAcentral lists this transfer RNA (72 nucleotides) under Bos taurus (domestic cattle). It matches the Rfam family "tRNA". Rfam says of the family: Transfer RNA (tRNA) molecules are approximately 80 nucleotides in length. Their secondary structure includes four short double-helical elements and three loops (D, anti-codon, and T loops). The record is from Rfam by way of RNAcentral. RNAcentral also lists the same sequence under 2 other names. Lineage: Eukaryota; Metazoa; Chordata; Mammalia; Artiodactyla; Bovidae.